RNAcentral lists this long non-coding RNA (1085 nucleotides) under Malus domestica (apple). RNAcentral's name for it is "long non-coding RNA (MDOM_LNC014596)". The record is from RNAcentral. Lineage: Eukaryota; Viridiplantae; Streptophyta; Magnoliopsida; Rosales; Rosaceae.
UUUAAAGAAAUUAAGGUGGAAGCUGAAAUAAUGUGGUAGUGGUAGAAAACGUGGGAACGCCGGAGUAAAUCUUGUUUGUACUGUUUAAUUGAUUCUUGUGGAAUGUCCCAAUCUUUCUAGUCCUAGUACGGCAGGGCAAUCUUAAGUGGUAGGGAAAAAAUGGCUAAUGGUGCUGAAAAGAAUAGGCAAUCUUUAAAAGCAACUGCGAAGCUUUUCCUCGAUCACUAUAUUGAAGAGACACGUUACGAUACACGUAUUUAUUUAAUGAAUUUUUGUUAUUUUACAAAUAAACACAGUUAGAUGUGAUAUUCUCUUUAUUAUAACAUACUUAGUCGUUAGAUGUUGAUUGGAUAUGCAUGUGUUGUAGCUAAGUCUUGAAAGUUGGAUUCCCCAAACACGUGAUUAGUUGGUUUAGAGGUCUUCGAUUGAUUGGAGGAGUUUUCAGGUUUAACUCAUGGAUAUGCAAAAAUGAUAUAUGGUUGCAGUGAUUUUAAUACUAAAUUGCGGUCAGUUGUAACUUUUGUUAAGUUACAACUUGUUUGUAAAAGUAUCUUUGUAAACAUAAAGCAAGUUAUAACUCACAACUACAUCUUUUUAAUUUCUUAUAACAUGGACAUAAGUAUAGUAACAUGAAUUUCUUGGUAGUUAUAUAUUCUUACUUAUCAAGAAACCCAAGAAAAAGAAAAGCAUUUAUUAUCUCAUUUUAUUUUUGUUAGUUGAUUAGUUUUCCCCUUUCAGUAUGAAAGGAAAAAUAAAUAUGAGAAAGGUUAGUUUUUACUCAAAUUAUAAUAAUUACCAAUAUUAUUUAUGAACUCAUAAAAUUUGUUGGGCAGCUUUAUUAUUUAUAUGCAUAAUGUUGCGUGCUAGAUAGAAUUAAGAAUGAGGAUGUUGGAAGUAAAGUAAGUGUGAUUAGAAUUAAGAAUGAUAUGAUUAAGAAUGAGGAUGUUGGAAGUAAAGUAAGUGUGACAACCCGUCCCAAAUUUUACAUUUUAAUAAAUUUUAAAUGUGUGAUUUUACGAAAAUGCCUUUAGAGGCGAGAGUCUUGACUUUCGUUGAUCAACGUAUAGCAAGAUGUAUGAAUUAAU